RNAcentral lists this long non-coding RNA (1734 nucleotides) under Homo sapiens (human). RNAcentral's name for it is "novel transcript". The record is from RNAcentral. Lineage: Eukaryota; Metazoa; Chordata; Mammalia; Primates; Hominidae.
UCCCCUUCCACACUGUGGAAGCUUUGUUCUUUCGCUCUUUGCAAUAAAUCUUGCUGCUGCUCACUGUUUGGGUCCACACUGCUUUUAUGAGCUGUAACACUCACCGCAAAAGUCUGCAGCUUCACUCCUGAAGCCAGCGAGACUACGAGCCCACCGGGAGGAACGAACAACUCCAGAUGCCCCGCCUUAAGAGCUGUAACACUCACUGUGAAGGUCUGCAGCUUCACUCCUGAGCCAGCGAGACCAGGAACCCACCAGAAGGAAGAAAUUCCAAACACAUCCGAACAUUAGAAGGAACAAACUCCAGACGCGCCACCUUAAGAGCUGUAACACUCACCGCGAGGGUCCGUGGCUUCAUUCUUGAGGUCAGUGAGACCAAGAACCCACCAAUUCCGGACACAAUAACAGAGAUGGGCAUUUUUCAGGGAAUCCAGUCAGAUUGCAAGAUUUAAAAGUGAUGACAUUUUGUACAGCAAACAUCACCUUCUGGUUUUGCAGUCUCUGAAGGCCAGACCACUUUGAUGACUUUCUUCAGGUUGGUUUUAUACAGUAAAAGAAGGAGGAAAAGAACCAGGAUUGGGAGGUCACAGAACCUGAAAUCAGCAUGAUUGCCUCUGUGGACUUCGGUUUCAGUUACUCACACCUGGGCUUUUUAGAAGUAAUUUGAAUGGAUACAGUCAAAGCUCAGCCUCUAGAAGAUCCCAAAUGACCCCACUGUAGGAGUAUGAGAAGAACGUUCAGGAAGAAGGGGUUCAGGUGGUAGAUGAUAAGAAUCUACAGGUGGCACAAUAGACAUAUUACCUUCUUUGGUGGAGUCUGUAAAGACAUUACUAAAGUUUAAUAAUAAAGCAUGAAUAUUCAGACCCUUCUUUUCUGCCUUCUAAGAGUUAAUGAGUGAAAUGUUGAAUUGGAGGAAGAAGAAACAUUCAUUGACUUGUUUUAAACAAGAAAGAGAGGAGAGGUGCUCUUAACAUAAAAUGAUAGACUCAUAAGAGAGUGGGAAAGUUUGGCAUGGGCUGGAGUUUGAAGACAUUGGGGCUUUUGAAAAGAAUAUUUAUUGGGCAGCCAUCAUUAAUUUGAAGUCUAAGGUGUUGAUUUCCAAGAAAGAUCUUGUUCUUCAAACUCUGUUACAGCGUCUUCUCUGGAGAAGUCAACAGUGAGAUGGGCUAAAUGAAGAAGGAGCAGCUUAUUGUCUUUGUUGGUUUUCUUUAUUUUCCUUCGAAGCAUCUGGGGGAAGAGGAAGACAAUGGAUGAGAUGGCGUAUGUUCUUUCCGCCCUGUGAAUGAAUCAGAUUUGAACUCCUAAGCAAAAUAGAAAAUGCAGAAAUGGUGCUCAGGCAAAACCUGAGAGACACCGGGCUCAAGCGACUCUCCUCUGAAGUCCAUCUGAUAAAGUCUGAAUUAUGGAUAAGUCCUUUCCCCCUCAAUAGUCUACUGCUUACUAAAGUGUAGCUCAAUGACUCUGUGGGCUUGGGUAAUCAGCAGUCUCAGAUUAACAGACGUGUGUAGGAUUUCAGUCCCAUUUGAAUACACCCGAUGGAUGUACGACCUUGAGAAAUUUACUUAACACUUCCAGGUCAGCCCGGCGUGGUGGCUUAUGCCUGUAUUUCCAGCACUUGGGGAGGCCAAGCCGGGUGGAUCACGAGGUCAGGAGUCCGAGACCAGCCUGGCCAACAUGGUGAAAACCUGUCUCUACUAAAGAUACAAAAAUUAUCUGGGUGUGGUGGUGGGCGCC